Molecule: ribosomal RNA, 915 nt
Filed under: Hypocrella raciborskii
Lineage: Eukaryota; Fungi; Ascomycota; Sordariomycetes; Hypocreales; Clavicipitaceae
Description: partial 28S ribosomal RNA
Rfam family: Eukaryotic large subunit ribosomal RNA
Source: RNAcentral
CGGGGGGGAAAGAACCAACAGGGAUUGCCCCAGUAACGGCGAGUGAAGCGGCAACAGCUCAAUUUGAAAUCUGGCCCCCCCCGGGGGGGCCGAGUUGUAAUUUGCAAAAGAAGGUUUGGGGGAGGCGCCCUCCGAGUUCCCUGGAACGGGACCCCCCAGAAGGUGAGAACCCCGUCUGGUCGGACCCCCAGCCUCUGUAAAGCUCCCUCCACGAAUCCAGUAAUUUGGGAAUGGUGCUCAAAAUGGGAGGGAUUUGUCUUCUAAAGCUAAAUACCGGCCAAAAACCGAUUGCGCACAAGUUGAGUGGUCCAAAGAAGAAAAGCCCCUUGAAAAGGGGGUUAAACAGUACGUGAAAUUGUUGAAAGGGAAACCCUUGUGACCAGACUUGGGGCGGGGGGAUUAACCGGGGUUUUCCCCCGGGCACUCCCCCCCUCCCAAGGCAACAUCAAUUUCCGCCCGGGGAAAAAAGGCGGGGGAACCUGGCUCCCCCAGGAAUGGUAUUACCCCCCCCCCCCUGCCCCGGGGGCCGAAUGGAGGCCCCCCCUUCCUGGCAGGGUUCUUGCCUUAUGGUCACCAACCACCCCUCCUGGAACCCCGGGCAAGGAAUUCUCCUUCUAUGGCAAUGGUCCGGUUGUCAACCCCUUCCCCGAAAGAAAGUGAACCUUGGUUAAAGCUUCCGCCCCUCCUCCACCCAUUCCGAUGGUCUUCGAAGGAUUUGAAUUAGAACAUACCGGGCCCGGACCCAAAGAAAGGUAAAUAUUCCUGUUGUAGGUGGAACCCGAAGAAACUCCUGGUGGAAGGUCGCGCGGUCCUGACGUUGCAAAUCGAUCGUCAAACAUGGGCAUGGGGGGCGAAGGACUAAUCGAACUUCCUAGUAGCUUGGUUUCCGCGAUCUCCUCCCCUCCGGGAGAAUCU